AUGGAACAAGGCUUAAGGUAAAAACUCCUCACAGAAGCUGGGAGCGGCGGCGACACUCGUUUCGUGCUUCAAAAUCUCCUCAUCCACUUCAGAAUCCAUCGAAUCGCAUUCGGCCCUCAAUCGUCAUCAUCGUCGGUUCCGACAUUCAACAACGUGAAAGGAUAAGAGCGUUCACGCUCCAAAUGUGGUUCAUCGCUGCAAUUCCGUGCUUACGGAUGACGUUCUCCGAUUGCGAUUCCUGGGUUCGACGGCGUCGAAUCAUCCAUCCACACCGUCAACCACAGGUUUACUCACUAGCUUUGAAGUAGUAUCUAAUCGCGACGGACUUGGUUGAACCGGAACGACAUCGCCACGAAAACGAGAACAAAUUAAAGCGAGAACUACUUACCAGAUUGAAGCGACGUGGUGGUUCUCCGGCGAAUGUUCAGGUUAGUGACUUUGGUUUGCUUAAAUACAGGUUUUGCAGAUAGGCUAUGUCAACUGAGUUGAAAUUAGUCAUGUUGCGAUUUUAUUUGAUGGCUUAUGACGGUUGAAUGUACCACUGCUGUUACUUCCCUUUUCGGACUCGACGAGGCAUGCUGCUGCUAACAUCUGUUGGUUUAUGCAUUUUCUGUAGCAGUUAAUUGGUAACUUGUUAAUUGUUGAUGAGGGCGCUGUUAUUGUUGUUAUUGGAUGUCAAAGCUAACUUCCUCUUUUUUGACUUGUAGUUAUGAAUGAACUGCUGAAUUGAUGCAGGUGACUUGGUGUGAUUACACUGCCAGCUCACUUCGAUGUCACCGGAUCAGUUGUCAGUUUGGCAGUGAUUCCGUUUUACACUGCUUUGGUAACGCUUGCAGAAAUUGUGAUGCCAGAUAUUGUAAAUUAGUUAAAGAAACUGAGUUGCUGCAACAACACGACCGACGUUGUGAAAUAGAUAGUAUUAUUAGAGGAACUGUUGUAUUAUUGCAAUGAAACAAACUCCCCAUUCAAUUCUGAAUUGUCAAUAUCUGCAAAUUGGUUUGUGAAUUAUCAGUUGUAAAAUUGUUUGUGGUUCGGUAGUUACUUGGUAUUCUGUUAAUAUAUGCGGAGUUAACUGAGUUUCCGUUGGCCGAUUUGCAGGUUGAACCGAAGGUAACACAGGAUGAAGGUUGGUCAGAAUGGGAUAUCUGUUGUGAAUCCUUCAAAUUGGUGCCGUUGAAGCUUGUUAAUUCCCUGUGGUCUGCUGUUGCAGGGGUUAACUUGGUGAAAUUGGUGUGUUCUAGCCUAUUGGUCUUGCGGCAACAUGUGAGCAAUUGGGAACGCCCCUCUUUGCAGGUACGGUUUUGGUUUCGUGAUGCAGUUUACGGCUGCGGCAAGGCUUUAAGGAUUGAUGCUGCUUGUGGUAUGCGUGAUGCGAGGCAAAGCAAAGGUCUCUGUUGGCGUGUCCUGCAUUCUUAUGUUUUAGGAAUUAAUUGAUGAACCAUGGGAUCAAAAAAAUUAGGAUUGUUCUAGUUUAAAUUUUAGCAGCUCAUUGGUUAAGAGGGAAAAACGUUGUAAAUGUUAGAAAGUUAGAAAAUCAAAGUAUUUACAGGAUGUGAUAUUAGUGUGGAUAAAUGCUAAAAAUAGUUUGGAAGUUGAGAACAUUCAGUUAAUGGAUGAAGUUAUACUCUUGGUUAAA
This is a long non-coding RNA of Lathyrus oleraceus (garden pea), 1636 nucleotides long. RefSeq lists it as uncharacterized. NCBI's taxonomy places the organism in Eukaryota, Viridiplantae, Streptophyta, Magnoliopsida, Fabales, Fabaceae. The record is from RefSeq and is a predicted model, not a curated record. The transcript is spliced from 5 exons.